This 497-nucleotide unclassified non-coding RNA is filed under the name Acromyrmex echinatior (Panamanian leafcutter ant). RNAcentral's name for it is "aldose 1-epimerase-like, transcript variant X6". Lineage: Eukaryota; Metazoa; Arthropoda; Insecta; Hymenoptera; Formicidae. The record is from RNAcentral.
CUGUGUAUUCCACAAUACAUGAUUUUUGAUAGGUUGAAAUUCUUAUUCUCUGUUCUCUGUUCCUUUUACAGAAUAGAGGCCCAGUAAUCAGGGCCGUUAAUCACCGAAGAAGAAGAAGAUACAAAUUUACUAAAAGGACUGAUAAAAUAAGGUUCUAUGUCAAAGUAUCCAAAUAUAUCGCAAGAAGCGAUAGGAUGCAUUAAUUAUUUCCUCCAACCCGAAACAAGAACUCAUCGUUUUCGUCGUCUAUGCAAUCCUACAGUGAACCAUUUACACAGGAACAAGAAAUGAUACUUUACAAAGGCAUAAAGAUGCAUCUGCAAGAAAUUCAAAUAGUUACUCAAGAUAUUAAUCAGCAAUUCAAAAAUAUUCAAGAAGAAAUGCUUGUCACAGCAGCUUUGAUAAAUGCGAUUGAAUCAAAAAACCAAGGAAAUUAAUUAGGAUUAAUACAUUUGCAAAAAUAAAAAUAUGGCAGUAUAUCUUAGGAAUGUAAAAAG